UGACAAAGUGUAAAUGUUGUGUACAGUGAAUUAUUGUGGUUGUGUUUUAUGAUUAUUUUCAUCUUUAUUGUUAUUUAUAGAUAUUUCUGGUUAUUACUGAACAGAUUUCUUUCCCUCAUAUUUUAAUUUUGAAGGUUAAACUCUUGCCCCAAGAGCAAAAGGGGUAAUCAUACUACCUGAUGUAUGGACUUUUACACCAGGCUUUUACCCUGCACGAGCUGGCCAACUUGAGGGGAACUGAAGUGGGCAAACCUCGCCCUGUCCUUGAACAAGAAAGCUGGAUUUGUUGAGAGAGUAUCAUUUAAGCUGAAAUCCAGCAUGAAACCAGGGAGGUGAUGGCCAUCGCACAGGCCAUGUGCCGACUAUUCACUUUCCACCAGCUUGUGACUUGCUCCAUGAAGGGAGCAACAACUACAACUGGAUCACCAAGACCAAGCCUCCCCGCUGCUGAGAGAAAUGCAAUCAUUGAUGUCAUAGCCAAAACCGUUGACAAGCCUCUGGUUGAUGUUGAAGAAAAGAUGAGAGGUUGUUUAAGGCAUCUGCGGCUGAUGAACAACUAGACUGAAGUCUUUGUAAAUAAAAUGUGCUGUUAAAAUGAUUAUU
Long non-coding RNA from Dreissena polymorpha, 603 nucleotides. RefSeq lists it as uncharacterized. The transcript is spliced from 3 exons. Lineage: Eukaryota; Metazoa; Mollusca; Bivalvia; Myida; Dreissenidae. The record is from RefSeq and is a predicted model, not a curated record.